CACCUUCCUCAUUAAAGACUGUGCUCGUUCUCCCAGGAGACUCCUGCAACAUUACAACUCUUCUCCACAGGCAGACAGACACAGGAGUUACCAGGGAAGGUGACACCUCCGCCCCCACGGUGCAGAAGAGAUAUCCCGUUUCCGCUGUGUGAAUGACAGAUGGAUAUGCACUCAAUCCCACUCAUCUUUUAUUGUUUACUGACCAGAUAUUGAUUACCAGAUAAGUAUAUACACAACCAUCUUUCCCAUUUUCCUUUACAGGUCAAACCUGUACCAUCAUCCACAAUGUCCCAGCCAUGUGCCCCACCCUUUGCAAGAGCCGCCACCAACAACCAAAUCCCUUGUGUUCAUAUGGUUCUCCCAGCUCUCGAGGAAGCAAUCCCUCUGUCCUUUGUUUUCUGAUUCCCUAAGGUGUGUCGAGAUCAGGAGAUAACACCGACAUCCAGGCAGCCCCAUCCCCAUUUCCGCACCAGAUCCUCCCCCAAACACCCACCCCACCCUUGCCUACUUGUGCAUAUGCAGAGGAAGGAAGCUUCUCCACUGUGGCAGCAGCAAAACAUCACACUACAAAAGAGAUGCACACCUCUGACAGUAACCAUCAAGAAGGGCGUUGACAGAAUAAGGGCGGGAGACGAUGAUCUGAGAGGCUGAGAUCUGUGGAAGGAGGCAGAAGGGAAGAGAAAGGGUUUUCUUUUCUCUGUCUCCUUUUUCAUACCUUUUUUUUUUUUUGCAUUUUCCCAGGAUUCAUCAAGCUCCACUUGACACAUGUCUGACUGGGGUGGCGUUAAUCUCCCCAGAGGGUGGGUUCCCCUUUUCUCCUCUGCACGCUGCUGCUUUUCCCGUCAAUUUACAUUUCAAAACAGGCAAUGAGCCGAUCAAGGACGGUCACUAACGAUGAGGUCUUUCAUCAGUGGCUGGCGUGGUGUACAGAGAUAGUGUACGGCGAGGUUUCAUUGAUCAUAAGCAGGUGGGUGUGCGGUUGGGCAGUGGAUUGUGUGCUGCUGGGCUCCUGUCAUUGCUCUAUCCUAAGUUUGUCUCGAGGGGCGAGACGUCGCCGAGGGGGGGGAUGUGCCAGUGGGUCUCAAAGGAGAUUGUCUUUGUCAUACGGAACAUGGAAGUGAAUUAAUCAAAAGGAUUCCAACAUCUGCAAUCUCACUGAACCCAAAUGAAUCUAAUUUCUUUGAGAAGUUUUGGUAUUUGUCUUGGCCAUAAUAAAUAACUCAAUUACUGAUGUAAAUUUGAUUUGAAUUGAAUUAA
Long non-coding RNA from Gasterosteus aculeatus aculeatus (three-spined stickleback), 1257 nucleotides. NCBI's taxonomy places the organism in Eukaryota, Metazoa, Chordata, Actinopteri, Perciformes, Gasterosteidae. The record is from Ensembl.